AUAGACCAACUUCCAAUAGGCUCUGAGAGGUAUGUAAGUUGCGCUUUCAUCCAUUACUAUAUUCUGUUUGUAACCUUGACUUUCAGCACAAAUCCCAGUUUUGUGGCAAACAUUUGCCGGAUAGAUGAGUUGAUUUCUGGAUGGUUUUCUGAACUAAAUUGGAGACAGGGUUUAUCACCGACGUGUGCUCUCUCUCUCUCUCUCUCUCUCUCCGUAUCUGGCCUGUGCAUUGCACUGUUACUCUCUUGUCCCCUCGACUGAAUUUUCCAUCCAUUCUUGCUUUCCUCUGCCUGAUGUGCUAAUUGGAUAUUCUCCCCAGGCUGUCAUAUUGGAAUGGGAAAGCAUUCUUAUUUUCCCAUGAAUAUCUGGUCACAUAUGUGUUCAUGCUUCACAGAAGGAAGCUGAGAUACUCAUCCUGUGGAGCGAGGAAAGGGAGCGAUGCAGAGAAAGACCAACUUUCAGCAGAGCAACAGAAAGUUUGGCACCACAGCCCAGAAAGCCCUUUCCUGCACUGCCUGGAUAAGAUAAGCAGUUCAGAGUGGAACAGUUCUGAUGAACUCACAAACCCUCUUUCAGAGCAGGAGGACAGUGCGUAUCGUUCCAACAACAGUGAAGUCGCUCCGCACAAGUCCCCGGGUCCUAACCGCAGUUACCCUCCGCAGCCGAGGAAGGAGCCAGCCACAGCUCCAUUCAUGCAAACUCACUCCAAACAUGCACAGCAACCCAUCGAGAUAAAGACAACACCCUUCCAUCCCAGAGUCUUACAGGAGCACUCACAGACGGCCUCCGGAGCAUCCAGGCGAAUGGAAAUCAACGGCACCUGCCCGAGCUCAUCAGACCAGGAGAGAGGGGAGCCUGAAGAAAGACCUUGUGAUUGUGAUAAACCGUCGACUUCAGCAUCAGGAGUAGCACUGAUGACUUAUUUCUCAGUGGAUAAUUGUAUGACAGACACCUACAGACUAAGCAUCACCACCAGAGGCCGCUGGUCCUCUCCUUGCCUGAGCCCAGAGGAGCUGUGAAGGACGGGACAGACACGGGACACUGCAGCCGCGUAGAGAACCAAACCAAAAACAAGCCUGACUCUGGUGUGUUAAAGCUCCGCUGAUCUCCUCAUUCAGUCAGAGAGAGGCUAUCGUGUUCAAAAGUUUGGGCAAUAGCAACAGUAAGCCCACUGCUACAGGGCUGGAUGAAAAUGGAUAUUUGUGAAAGUUAUGGGUCAGAAAGAGAAGAUUCCUGCGGCGGCUGAUCUGGAAACCAGCAGCGUUCAUGUCCACUCACCCAUUUGCUCCAUGAACUUCUCGUAGUUCUCAUUGCGGUCGACUUUCCAGGUCCCGUUGAAGGUCAU
Molecule: long non-coding RNA, 1345 nt
Organism: Cyprinus carpio (common carp)
Lineage: Eukaryota; Metazoa; Chordata; Actinopteri; Cypriniformes; Cyprinidae
Source: RefSeq, a predicted model, not a curated record